This 474-nucleotide long non-coding RNA is filed under the name Capsicum annuum. RNAcentral's name for it is "long non-coding RNA (CANN_LNC016960)". The record is from RNAcentral. Lineage: Eukaryota; Viridiplantae; Streptophyta; Magnoliopsida; Solanales; Solanaceae.
GGGUGAUAUGUAACUGACCGUUCAUAGAUGAAGAAGCAGAACGUAUGGUGAUAGCAGGUUUCUCAGAACUACAGGUUGCAUCAUCUGCUCCUACAGACUGUUUAACAGGUCCUAACGUGCUUAUUUCACCUUUCUCUUGACUCGUGCCACCAUCUUUGCUAUGAAUAGCUUUCUUUCCUGCUUCAGCAGGCAAUGACAUGACCUGACUAUUAUUUGCAACAGUUGUGGAGCAUGUAAGUGGGCUAAAUAUUUCAGCUUUCUGUUUAAGAGGUCCACUAGAACUUGGUGCACUGGCAGGCGGCACUCCAUUAGAACUUGGUGCACUGGCAGGCGGCACUCCAUUAGAACUUGGUGCACUGGCAGGCCGCACUCCAUUUGAACUUGGUGCACUUACAGGCGGCAGUCCAUUAGAACUUGGUGCACUGGCUGGUGGCAGUUGGUUAUUUAAUGCACGCGUUCCCCUGGAAAAAAAGG